GACGAACGCUGGCGGCGUGCUUAACACAUGCAAGUCGAGCGGUAAGGCCCUUUCGGGGGUACACGAGCGGCGAACGGGUGGAGUAACAACGUGGGUGGACCUGCCCUCCAGCUCUGGGAGUAAGCCUGGGAAACGUAGGGGUCUAAUACUGGAUAUGACUCCACGGUGCAUGUCGUGGGGUGGAAAGCCUUGUGCGGCUGAGGAUGGGCCCGCGGCCUAUCAGCUUGUUGGUGGGGNGAUGGCCUACCAAGGCGACGACGGGUAGCCGGCCUGAGAGGGCGACCGGCCACACUGGGACUGAGACACGGCCCAGACUCCUACGGGAGGCAGCAGUGGGGAAUCUUGCGCAAUGGGCGAAAGCCUGACGCAGCGACGCCGCGUGAGGGAUGACGGCCUGG
Molecule: ribosomal RNA, 398 nt
Filed under: uncultured bacterium
Lineage: Bacteria
Description: bacterial SSU rRNA
Rfam family: Bacterial small subunit ribosomal RNA
Source: RNAcentral